This is a long non-coding RNA of Prosopis cineraria, 1387 nucleotides long. RefSeq lists it as uncharacterized. The transcript has 2 exons. NCBI's taxonomy places the organism in Eukaryota, Viridiplantae, Streptophyta, Magnoliopsida, Fabales, Fabaceae. The record is from RefSeq and is a predicted model, not a curated record.
CUGGUUGACUGAUGAGCAGCUCGGUGCUCAGCAACGCAGACGAACCCAUGUUAAAACUGCUUCGGGGUAUUGAUCUCAAGUAGGUGGCAAAGGAGGUGUUCAAACUUCAAAGCCAUUGUAACACCUGCUUUUCAUUAUGCUUUUGCUUUAGCUGUACAGGAUGAGGGACGUAAAGAUCUGGACGAACCAAAAGUAAUUUGGAAAAUUAUACACAGGUUUCAUAUAAAAAAAAAAGCCUCAUAAAAUUCAAAAAAAUAUUUUAAAAUUUCAAAUCCUGUAUAUUUAUAAUUUAAUCAAGGGCGACUACAGCUUGGCACAACUUUUUGUAAAUUUUAUAAGACCUCUUAAUCAUAAUUUUUUUUUUUAUAGGAUCCAGAUAUAAUUUUUUCAAAGUAUAACUCCAUGAGUUUGAAAGCGAAGUAAUCCUCCUGUCCAGUAAUAUACUCUCAAGGUGAGCUCUCUUGUACAAGGUCGAUCAGAGCGGGGAAGACAGACUUGCAUCUCCUACUUUUCAAUGACAACAAAAUUUCGUACGGGAUUUUUUAAGUGUCUGCUCUUAUCUGUUAUUAUGAAUUAAAAUAUAAUAAAUAUCUUAAUCAGUCAAUAUCACAUGAUUGAGGAUCGUAAAAAAGAAAUAUUCUGGAUAUUUUCAUAUUGGAAAACUUGGUAGAAGACAUCACGAAUUUUAGGUAAAUCUUAUUCUUCGAGUGAUGACUUAGUCGGCACGCCUUGCCAAAGUGGCAAGAAGUGACAUCAGUAUAUUUGUCAUCAGGCUUAAACUCUGCACUUAACUCUUGAAAAUGUACAAACAAGCAUGAUGAAUGGUGUCUGACAGACAGAGCAUGAUGUUUUUGUUGGCGCCAUAUUUUGAGCAUUAUGGAAACUGGCACAGAUUGCGUAGGAGUGUGGGUUGAAGAGAGGACCCAUAUAAGAUAGAGGGAUAAGAAACACAAGCUAGUGGAAUGCACACUCACUUCCCACUGUCUCCAUCUCCAUAAUAUGGUCUAUCAAAUUCUAGUGAUGUCAUUCUCUCCUCUACCCGCAGAUACGACACCAUCUUGUGUCUUCAAUUUGUUAUCUCAUUCAGAGCAUUCAUGCACUGCUAUGUUUUCUUCCACGUUUACCCGGUGGGACCAGCGAUUCGUUCGAUUAUCGAGAAGCAAAAGAAUAUUAAAAGGUACAACCCUGUUCAGCGUGUGUUCGUAAAAAGUAAAAACCCAACUUUGUAAAGUUUUUUUUUUUUUUUUUUCUGUUUUCUUUUUGAAAGUAAAGCUUUGUAAAGUUAUUUGCCUAUGCGGGUAGGUUUCUAUGUGUGGAGCGGCUUAUUACAUUUUUUUGGUUGAAUAUAUUUCGUAUUAAUAUUGAUUUUUAAUAUCGACUGUAUCAA